GACGAACGCUGGCGGCGUGCUUAACACAUGCAAGUCGAACGGAAAGGCCCUGCUUGCAGGGUCCUCGAGUGGCGAACGGGUGAGUAACACGUGGGUGAUCUGCCCUGCACUUCGGGAUAAGCCUGGGAAACUGGGUCUAAUACCGGAUAGGAGCCAUUUUUAGUGUGAUGGUUGGAAAGUUUUUUCGGUGUAGGAUGAGCUCGCGGCCUAUCAGCUUGUUGGUGGGGUAAUGGCCUACCAAGGCGGCGACGGGUAGCCGGCCUGAGAGGGUGGACGGCCACAUUGGGACUGAGAUACGGCCCAGACUCCGACGGGAGGCAGCAGUGGGGAAGAUUGCACAAUGGGCGCAAGCCUGAUGCAGCGACGCCGCGUGGGGGAUGACGGCCUUCGGGUUGGAAACUCCUUUCGCUAGGGACGAAGCUUUUUGUGACGGUACCUAGAUAAGAAGCACCGGCUAACUACGUG
RNAcentral lists this ribosomal RNA (465 nucleotides) under uncultured bacterium. RNAcentral's name for it is "partial 16S ribosomal RNA". It matches the Rfam family "Bacterial small subunit ribosomal RNA", at positions 28 to 507 of the family's 1533-position model. The record is from RNAcentral.